This 301-nucleotide ribosomal RNA is filed under the name uncultured bacterium. RNAcentral's name for it is "partial 16S ribosomal RNA". It matches the Rfam family "Bacterial small subunit ribosomal RNA", at positions 509 to 809 of the family's 1533-position model. The record is from RNAcentral.
CAGUCGCCACGGGAAUACGUAGGUGGCAAGCGUUGUCCGGAAUUAUUGGGCGUAAAGCGCGCGCAGGUGGUUUAAUAAGUCUGAUGUGAAAGCCCACGGCUCAACCGUGGAGGGUCAUUGGAAACUGUUAAACUUGAGUGCAGGAGAGAAAAGUGGAAUUCCUAGUGUAGCGGUGAAAUGCGUAGAUAUUGGGAGGAACACCGGCGGCGAAGGCGGCUUACUGGACGACAACUGACGUUGAGGCUCGAAGGCGUGGGGAGCAAACAGGAUUAGAUACCCCUGUAGUCCCUGUCUCUUAUAA